This 380-nucleotide ribosomal RNA is filed under the name uncultured eukaryote. RNAcentral's name for it is "partial 18S ribosomal RNA". It matches the Rfam family "Eukaryotic small subunit ribosomal RNA", at positions 592 to 976 of the family's 1831-position model. The record is from RNAcentral.
CAAUAGCGUAUAUUAAAGUUGUUGCGGUUAAAAAGCUCGUAGUUGGAGUUCUGCCAGGUGCCGCCUGUCCGCCCCAGUGGUGAGUACGUGGCGCGCAUUUGGCCCUUUCAAGGGGAGCGUAUCUGCACUUUAUUGUGUGGUGCGGGAUCCUUGACUUUUACUUUGAGGAAAUAGGAGUGUUCCAAGCAGGCUCUCGUCGUGCACAGCUCAGCAUGGAAUAAUAGCAUUGGACCUCGAUUCUAAGCUGUUGGUUGCCAGAAGCGAGGUAAUGAUGAAGAGGGAUAGUUGGGGGCAUUCGUAUUUAACUGUCAGAGGUGAAAUUCUUGGAUUUAUGAAAGACGAACUUCUGCGAAAGCAUUUGCCAAGGAUGUUUUCAUUGA